This 253-nucleotide ribosomal RNA is filed under the name uncultured bacterium. RNAcentral describes it as "partial 16S ribosomal RNA". It matches the Rfam family "Bacterial small subunit ribosomal RNA", at positions 524 to 776 of the family's 1533-position model. The record is from RNAcentral.
UACGGAGGGUGCAAGCGUUAAUCGGAAUUACUGGGCGUAAAGCGCACGCAGGUGGCUGAGUCAGUCGAUUGUGAAAGCCCUGGGCUUAACUUGGGAACUGCAUCCGAUACUGGAUGGCUUGAAUUCGGGAGAGGGAUGCAGAAUUCCAGGUGUAGCGGUGAAAUGCGUAGAUAUCUGGAGGAAUACCGGUGGCGAAGGCGGCAUCCUGGACCGACAUUGACGCUGAACGGCGAAAGCUAGGGGAGCAAACGGG